UUUCUUUUUUUUCCUUCUUUUCUUCUCCUUUCUUUCUCUUUUCUUUUUCUUCUCCUUCCCGAAGCUUCUCCCGACGGCUCUCCCGAACCCUCUUUCCACUCUAACCUCCUCCCCUUCCGAUCUCAAGGAAGAAGAGGCGGCGGCUUGGGAGAGGCCGAGCUUGGGGUCAUGCCAUGGCCGGCGGUGCCCUCGGCCGUCACCCGCGGCCGAAGCCCGCGGCGCCCUCGGCCGCGCUCGCGGCCGACGCUCGACGUCCGCAUCCUCGGCCGGCCUGCGGCCGAGGCUCGUGCCGGCGGCCCUCGCGGCCGAAGCCGGUGGCCACCGCACGCUACGUCGAAUCGGUGAGUCCCCGUUCCCUCUUCUUCCCAGAGCUUCCUCUCCUCCUCUCUUUCCUUCCUUCUCUCCCGAUCCCUCUUUUCUUUCCCCCUUUCUUCUCCUGCGAGGGGAGGCAGUGAGUUCGGGAGAGGUCGGCCACAGCCGGCGGUGCCCUCGGCCGGCCUGCAGCCGACGCCCGUGCCGGCGGCAUCCUCGGCUGGCCCGCGGCCGACGCCCGUGUCAGCGCCGUUCGCAGCCGAAGCCGGCCGCCGCCGCACGCGACGUCUCCCCGGUGAGUCCCCUCUUCCUCUUUUCUUAUUUUUCUUCUUCUUUGCUUCUUUGUUUCUUUCUUUCUUUCUUUUCUUUGUUAUCCUGAGCAGAUUGGGAGGAAAAGCAAGGCUAUGAACAUCAGGAAGGAAGGGACGGAGAAAUGGAUGGAUGUUACCUCACUGACCCAAGCAGCGGGUGUCGGUGAUGGAGUAAGGUGAAGAGAGGCUCUGGCGACCAGCCGGAGGUCAGCUGCUAUGGCGGGGAUGUCGGCGUAGAUGUCCAGCCGACGGGGUGCUGAGAUCUGGCAGUGUCCGAAUUUGGGAGGGAGCGUACCAGGAGGAAGGAAGGCGUUUGGGGGGUUCUAAGCGACGUGUCGAGAGGUUUUUAAGCGAUUGUCACUGUAUUAACACCUGGCAGCAACACCUCCCUUCUAUUGACAUCUGCCCCUCCCCUUAAGGACGAGGUGGCGGACUCCAAAUGGC
Molecule: long non-coding RNA, 1067 nt
Filed under: Phoenix dactylifera (date palm)
Lineage: Eukaryota; Viridiplantae; Streptophyta; Magnoliopsida; Arecales; Arecaceae
Description: long non-coding RNA (PDAC_LNC015267)
Source: RNAcentral